Long non-coding RNA from Brassica napus (rape), 175 nucleotides. RefSeq lists it as uncharacterized. The record is from RefSeq and is a predicted model, not a curated record. The transcript is spliced from 3 exons. Lineage: Eukaryota; Viridiplantae; Streptophyta; Magnoliopsida; Brassicales; Brassicaceae.
UGAUGUUAUUUCCAGGUUCAAAUUAAUUGCCAAUGUCAAGGACGAUAGCGGUGAGGCUAAUUUUCUGUUGUUUGAUGCUAAUGCUCAAGCAAUUGUGCGUCAUUCUGCUGCUGAACUCUAUGACGAGAAUGAAGAUGAAGACUUCUUACCUGAAGCAGUGAGCGAUCUCUUUGGU